This is a small nuclear RNA of Manis pentadactyla (Chinese pangolin), 160 nucleotides long. RefSeq annotates it as U1 spliceosomal RNA. The transcript has a single exon. NCBI's taxonomy places the organism in Eukaryota, Metazoa, Chordata, Mammalia, Pholidota, Manidae. The record is from RefSeq and is a predicted model, not a curated record.
GUACUUACCUGGCAGGGGAAGAUGCUAUGAUCAUGAAGGUGGUUUUCCCUGAGUGGGGUUCAUCCAUUCAAGAUGUGCUGACUCCUGCAAAUUUCCCCAAAGUGGGAGGCUUGGCUGCAUACUUUGUGUCAGUGGGGAACUGUGUUUCUGCUUUUCCUUA